Molecule: long non-coding RNA, 604 nt
Filed under: Eucalyptus grandis
Lineage: Eukaryota; Viridiplantae; Streptophyta; Magnoliopsida; Myrtales; Myrtaceae
Description: long non-coding RNA (EGRA_LNC002301)
Source: RNAcentral
UUCCAUAAUACCCGGUGGAGGGACUGAACGGAAGUGUCUUGCGAUGCCAAAUACACGCAUAAUAAUGAUUCAUCAACCUCUUGGUCUGCCCAUUCACGUAUCAACUGAUUGCUUAUCCUUAGUUGAGGGUGUUCUGGGCCGAGAAGACCCCCCUUGGCAGGCCCAACCGUUCAUUCUGGACUGCAAACUCCUCCUAGCCCAAAUGGAAGACAUAACUAUUAUCUAUGAGCCCAGGCAGACUAACAUGGCAGCGGACUGGGUAGCACGUGCGCAUCGAGCAAAUUCACUUCCAUGUAAUUGGGUUAAUUAUCCUCCUAUGCCUCUUCUUUCUAUAUUAUGUCUAGAUGUACCUGCUUAUGGAGCCUAUGUUAUGUGCCAGUAAUGAAUAUCAUCUCCUUUCGACAAAAAAAAACCUCUUGGUGGUGCAAGUGGACAAUAUAGAUGUGGAAAUUUAAGCCCCAGAAGAUAUGCAUAACAGAACUAAUGUCACCAGGAUUAUUUCUUCUUCCACUGGACGUCCAUUCGAACAAGUUGAAAAAGAUACUGACAGAGAUCAGUUGUUUAGUUACCAUUGGAAAAACUAUGUUAAGAGUUUAUGUGAUCC